GAUGAACGCUGGCGGCGUGCCUAAUACAUGCAAGUCGAGCGGUAACACUUCGGGUGACGAGCGGCGGACGGCUGAGUAACACGUAGGAACGUACCCCAAACUGAGGGAUAACUGCUCGAAAGAGUAGCUAAUACCGCAUAUGGUCUUCGGAUUAAAGCUUCGGCGGUUUGGGAACGGCCUGCGCAUGAUUAGCUUGUUGGUGAGGUAAAAGCUCACCAAGGCGACGAUCAUUAGCUGGUCUGAGAGGAUGAUCAGCCAGACUGGGACUGAGAACGGCCCAGACUCCUACGGGAGGCAGCAGUAGGGAAUCUUCCACAAUGGGCGAAAGCCUGAUGGAGCAACGCCGCGUGCAGGAUGAAUGCCUUCGGGUUGUAAACUGCUUUUAUAUGUGAAGAUUUUGACGGUAGCAUAUGAAUAAGGAUCGGCUAAUUCCGUGCCAGCAGCCGCAGUAAAAC
This 455-nucleotide ribosomal RNA is filed under the name uncultured bacterium. RNAcentral describes it as "bacterial SSU rRNA". It matches the Rfam family "Bacterial small subunit ribosomal RNA", at positions 28 to 526 of the family's 1533-position model. The record is from RNAcentral.